AAGUCGUAACAAGGUUUCCGUAGGUGAACCUGCGGAAGGAUCAUUAAAAAGUUUGAGUGUUCACGCAUUCUAAUUUCCACCCUGUGUAUCUGUUACCGUAAGCUUUCGCUGGGCUGUGGAGGCGAGUCUUUGCGCUCGCCUCCCCUCCUGACCGGACAACAGCCCCCUCGGGAGAGUCCUGGCGGGAGCCAACCAAACAAACCCUUUUUCGUUACAUACAGUCUGAGAAUGAUCUAAAAAAUCAAUUAAAACUUUCAACAAUGGAUCUCUUGGUUCUC
RNAcentral lists this unclassified non-coding RNA (278 nucleotides) under fungal sp. RNAcentral's name for it is "partial internal transcribed spacer region". The stretch from base 1 to 46 matches the Rfam family "Eukaryotic small subunit ribosomal RNA", at positions 1786 to 1831 of the family's 1831-position model. Lineage: Eukaryota; Fungi. The record is from RNAcentral.